AUUGAACGCUGGCGGCAGGCCUAACACAUGCCAGUCGAGCGAGCGGCGGACGGGUGAGUAAUGUCUGGGAAACUGCCUUAUGGAGGGGUAUAACUACUGGAAACGGUAGCUAAUACCGCAUACCAUCAGAUGUGCCCAUCUGGGAUUGGCUUGUAGGUGGGGUAACGGCGCACCUAGGCGACGAUCACUAGCUGGUCUGAGAGGAUGACGAGCGACACUGGAACUGGGACACGGUCCAGAAUCCUACGGGAGGCAGCAGUGGGGAAUAUUGGAGAAUGGGCGCAAGCCUGAUGCAGCAAUGCCGCGGCUAUGAAGAAGGCCGUCGGGGUGUAAAGUACUUUCAGCGGGUAGGCGUUACCCGCAGAAGAAGCACCGGCUAACUCCGUGCCAGCAGCCGCGGUAAUAC
RNAcentral lists this ribosomal RNA (406 nucleotides) under uncultured bacterium. Its description in RNAcentral is "partial 16S ribosomal RNA". It matches the Rfam family "Bacterial small subunit ribosomal RNA", at positions 30 to 526 of the family's 1533-position model. The record is from RNAcentral.